RNAcentral lists this ribosomal RNA (2730 nucleotides) under Triticum aestivum (bread wheat). Its description in RNAcentral is "partial small subunit ribosomal RNA". The record is from RNAcentral. Lineage: Eukaryota; Viridiplantae; Streptophyta; Magnoliopsida; Poales; Poaceae.
AUGGACCCGAGUGAUGGAGGCCCAGAGGAGUUGCCACCACCACCUCCUCUGCCUCCCGACGUGGUGCCCAUCAAAGCAGAAGAAGAUGUCGCCGAGGAACUGCCUCCAAACAAGCCAACAAAGCCCAAAAGGCUCCCAAUGGCCAGGCCUGGGCUAGGGAAGAGAGGGCACACCAUCCAGCUACUUGCUAACCACUAUAAAGUCUCCCUGAAGGGUUCAGAGGAAUUUUUCUACCACUACCAUGUUAAUCUGAAGUAUGAGGAUGAUCAACCUGUUGUUGAAAAGGGGAUAGGGAGAAAGGUGCAGGAUAAACUGGUGCAAAUGUACCAUUCCGAUCUUGCGAACAAGGACUUUGCAUAUGAUGGUGAGAAGAGCCUCUUUACAAUUGGGGCUCUUCCCCAAGUACACAAUGAAUUCACUGUAGUAUUGGAAGACAUUGGAAGUGGAAAUUGUAGGAGCUCUGGAGGUAAUAGUGGCAACAGUCCUGAAGGUAGUGACACGAAGAGAGUGAGGAGGCCGUACCAGUCAAAGAUUAUAAAAGUGGAGCUGAGCUUUGCGGCGAAAAUCCCUAUGGCCGCAAUCGCGCAGGCCAUUAGAGGUGAAGAAUCAGAGAACUCCCUGGAGGCUAUUCGAGUUCUUGAUAUCAUACUAAGGCAGCAUUCUGCAAAACAGGGCUGUCUUCUAGUCCGCCAAUCAUUUUUCCACAAUAAUCCUAAAAGUUUCAUUGAUUUGGGCGGCGGUUUGUUGGGAUGCCAAGGAUUUCACUCAAGUUUCCGUGGUGCACAGAGUGGGCUCUCCCUAAAUAUUGAUGUUUCGACUACCAUGCUAGUUAAACCUGGUCCUGUUAUCGAUUUUCUUCUUGCUAACCAGAUGGUUCGUCGCCCCGACGAAAUUAACUGGCCAAAGGCCAAGCGUGCCCUCAAGAGUUUGAAGAUAAAAACAACUCACACAAAUUCAGAGUUCAAGAUAUUUGGUUUGAGUGAGAAAAAUUGCAACGAACAAACGUUUCCAUUGAGGCGGAGGAACGGUGACAACGGAGACACUGAUACUGUUGAAAUAACAGUCUAUGAUUACUUCGUACAGAACAGAGGCAUAGAACUGCGCUAUUCUGGUAAUCUUCCAUGUAUCAAUGCUGGGAGGCCAAAGCGUCCAACGUACUUCCCUGUCGAGCUUUGCACGCUUGUUCCUCUGCAAAGAUACACCAAAGCUCUGUCUACUCCGCAGAGGUCCUCACUUGUGGAGAAGUCCAGACAAAAGCCUCAUCAAAGAAUGUCAACUCUUGGCAAGGCACUUAAACGUAGCGACUAUGACUCUGACCCCAUGCUUAAGGCGUGCGGCAUUUCAAUUGCCCGAAAUCUUCCUCAAAUUGAAGGGAGGAUCCUGUCACCACCCAAGCUGAAAGCCGGUGACGGUGAAGAAUUCGUCCCACAAAAAGGUCGUUGGAAUCUUGCGAGAAAGAAGCUGAUUCAGACCUGUUCUGUCACGAGGUGGGCAGUUGUCAAUUUCUCUGCACGUUGUGAUGUUCUUGGUCUUGUCCAAGGCCUUAAAAGGAUUGCAUCCGGACUGGGGAUUAAAAUGGAGGACCCUCUUGAUGAUGUAUUUGAGGAGAGCCCGUCAUCAAGACGAGAUCCCGUGUCGAAAAGAGUGGACAAGAUGGUUGCUCAGUUAGAAUCCAAGCUACCUGAAGAACCAAAGUUCCUGUUGUGCCUUCUUCCUGUGAAGAAAAACAGCGAAAUUUAUGGUCCUUGGAAGAGGAAGUGUCUUGUUGAAUGGGGCAUCCUCACACAAUGUCUAGCUCCUCCACCAAGAGUCAACGAUCAGUAUCUAAUUAAUGUGCUAUUGAAGAUAAAUGCUAAGCUUGAUGGGCUGAACACACUUCUGCAAGGUGAACAACCCCCUGCACCUGCAGUUCUACCCAUUGUGGGGAAGGUGCCUACAAUCAUCUUGGGCAUGGAUGUAUCACAUGGUCAGCCUGGGCAAUCAGAUAGGCCUUCCAUUGCUGCGGUGGUUAAUUCUCGCGAGUGGCCUCUCAUCUCUAAGUACAGAGCAACAGUGCACACUCAAUCACCCAAACUAGAAAUGAUGUCCUCCUUAUUUAAACCACGGAGACAGGGCGAUGAUGGCCUUAUUCGGGAAUCGCUUAUCGACUUCUACACUAGUUCUGGGAAUCGAAAACCAGAGCAAAUUAUUAUUUUCAGGGAUGGAGUUAGCGAAAGCCAGUUUACUCAGGUCAUCAACAUUGAGCUGGAGCAGAUCAUCGAGGCCUGCAAGCUCCUUGACGAGACGUGGCAGCCUAAGUUCACAGUCAUUGUUGCUCAGAAAAAUCAUCAUACGAGAUUUUUCCAGACUCAGUCUCCAGAUAAUGUUCCUCCUGGGACUGUCGUUGAUAAACAGGUCUGCCAUCCCAAGAAUUUCGACUUCUACAUGUGUGCACAUGCUGGGAUGAUAGGCACGUCGAGGCCAACACAUUACCAUGUUCUGCAUGAUGAGAUCGGCUUCACCGCGGAUGAGCUUCAGGAAUUUGUGCAUUCGCUUUCAUACGUGUACCAGAGGAGCACAACAGCGAUAUCAGUCUUUGCUUGGGCUUGCAGUUGCUCCGAUUAUGUAUGCGCAUCUGGCACAUUCGUGAAGUUUGAAGACAUGUCGGACGCGUCGUCAAGCCAGGGAGGGGGGCACAUCCCGGUGCCGGAACUGCACAAGAAUGUGAGGACCUCCAUGUUUUUCUGCUGA